UACGGGGGGGGCAAGCGUUGUCCGGAAUUACUGGGCGUAAAGGGCUCGUAGGCGGCCAACUAAGUCGGAUGUGAAAUCCCCAGGCUUAACUUGGGAACUGCAUCCGAUACUGGAUGGCUUGAAUCCGGGAGAGGGAUGCGGAAUUCCAGGUGUAGCGGUGAAAUGCGUAGAUAUCUGGAGGAACACCGGUGGCGAAGGCGGCAUCCUGGACCGGCAUUGACGCUGAUGAGCGAAAGCCAGGGGAGCAAACGGG
RNAcentral lists this ribosomal RNA (253 nucleotides) under uncultured bacterium. Its description in RNAcentral is "partial 16S ribosomal RNA". It matches the Rfam family "Bacterial small subunit ribosomal RNA", at positions 524 to 776 of the family's 1533-position model. The record is from RNAcentral.